UACGAAGGGGGCUAGCGUUGCUCGGAAUUACUGGGCGUAAAGGGAGCGUAGGCGGACAGUUUAGUCAGAGGUGAAAGCCCAGGGCUCAACCUUGGAAUUGCCUUUGAUACUGGCUGUCUUGAGUUUGGGAGAGGUGUGUGGAACUCCGAGUGUAGAGGUGAAAUUCGUAGAUAUUCGGAAGAACACCAGUGGCGAAGGCGACACACUGGCCCAAUACUGACGCUGAGGCUCGACAGCGUGGGGAGCAACC
This 250-nucleotide ribosomal RNA is filed under the name uncultured Arthrospira sp. Its description in RNAcentral is "partial 16S ribosomal RNA". It matches the Rfam family "Bacterial small subunit ribosomal RNA", at positions 524 to 773 of the family's 1533-position model. Lineage: Bacteria; Bacillati; Cyanobacteriota; Cyanophyceae; Oscillatoriales; Microcoleaceae. The record is from RNAcentral.